UUAUUACCGCGGCGGCUGGCACGAAGUUAGCCGGGGCUUCUUCUGCAGUUAAUGUCAUUAUCUUCACUGCUGAAAGUGCUUUACAACCCUAAGGCCGUCAUCACACACGCGGCAUGGCUGGAUCAGGGUUGCCCCCAUUGUCCAAUAUUCCCCACUGCUGCCUCCCGUAGGAGUCUGGGCCGUGUCUCAGUCCCAGUGUGGCUGAUCAUCCUCUCAGACCAGCUAUAGAUCGUCGCCUUGGUAAGCCAUUACCUUACCAACUAGCUAAUCUAACGCGGGCACAUCUCAUGGCGAUAAAUCUUUCCCCCAUAGGGCUCAUAGGGUAUUAGCAGUCGUUUCCAACUGUUGUCCCCUACCACAAGGUAGCUUCCCACGCGUUACUCACCCGUCUGCCACU
Molecule: ribosomal RNA, 397 nt
Filed under: alpha proteobacterium L348
Lineage: Bacteria; Pseudomonadati; Pseudomonadota; Alphaproteobacteria
Description: partial 16S ribosomal RNA
Source: RNAcentral